CAGCCGCCGCGGUAAUACAGAGGGUGCGAGCGUUAAUCGGAUUUACUGGGCGUAAAGCGUGCGUAGGCGGCUUUUUAAGUCGGAUGUGAAAUCCCUGAGCUUAACUUAGGAAUUUCAUUCGAUACUGGGAAGCUAGAGUAUGGGAGAGGAUGGUAGAAUUCCAGGUGUAGCGGUGAAAUGCGUAGAGAUCUGGAGGAAUACCGAUGGCGAAGGCAGCCAUCUGGCCUAAUACUGACGCUGAGGUACGAAAGCAUGGGGAGCAAACAGGAUUAGAUACCCCGGUAGUCCCUGUCUCUUAUAU
RNAcentral lists this ribosomal RNA (301 nucleotides) under uncultured bacterium. RNAcentral's name for it is "partial 16S ribosomal RNA". It matches the Rfam family "Bacterial small subunit ribosomal RNA", at positions 509 to 809 of the family's 1533-position model. The record is from RNAcentral.